GACGAACGCUGGCGGCGUGCUUAACACAUGCAAGUCGAGCGGUAAGGCCCUUUCGGGGGUACGACGAGCGGCGAACGGGUGAGUAACACGUGGGUGACCUGCCUUUAGCUCUGGGAUAAGCCUGGGAAACCGGGUCUAAUACCGGAUAUGACUCCGCGGCGCAUGUUGUGGGGUGGAAAGCCUUGUGCGGCUGGAGAUGGGCCCGCGGCCUAUCAGCUUGUUGGUGGGGUGAUGGCCUACCAAGGCGACGACGGGUAGCCGGCCUGAGAGGGCGACCGGCCACACUGGGACUGAGACACGGCCCAGACUCCUACGGGAGGCAGCAGUGGGGAAGUCUUGCGCAAUGGGCGAAAGCCUGACGCAGCGACGCCGCGUGAGGGAUGACGGCCUU
RNAcentral lists this ribosomal RNA (391 nucleotides) under uncultured bacterium. RNAcentral's name for it is "bacterial SSU rRNA". It matches the Rfam family "Bacterial small subunit ribosomal RNA", at positions 28 to 418 of the family's 1533-position model. The record is from RNAcentral.